Molecule: ribosomal RNA, 255 nt
Filed under: uncultured bacterium
Lineage: Bacteria
Description: partial 16S ribosomal RNA
Rfam family: Bacterial small subunit ribosomal RNA
Source: RNAcentral
UACGAAGGGGGCUAGCGUUGCUCGGAAUGACUGGGCGUAAAGGGCGCGUAGGCGGAUGGCACAGUCAGAUGUGAAAUUCCCGGGCUUAACCUGGGGGGCUGCAUUUGAUACGUGUGAUCUAGAGUGAGGAAGAGGGUCGUGGAAUUCCCAGUGUAGAGGUGAAAUUCGUAGAUAUUGGGAAGAACACCGGUGGCGAAGGCGGCGAGCCUGGUCCUUGACUGACGCUGAGGCGCGAAAGCGUGGGGAGCAAACAGG